Molecule: ribosomal RNA, 245 nt
Filed under: uncultured bacterium
Lineage: Bacteria
Description: partial 16S ribosomal RNA
Rfam family: Bacterial small subunit ribosomal RNA
Source: RNAcentral
UACGAAGGGGGCUAGCGUUGUUCGGAAUUACUGGGCGUAAAGCGCGCGCAGGCUGUCCUCCAAGUCAGUGGUGAAAGCCCGGAGCUCAACUCCGGAAUUGCCAUUGAAACUGUUGGACUGGAGUACGAGAGAGGUGAGUGGAAUUCCCAGUGUAGAGGUGAAAUUCGUAGAUAUUGGGAAGAACACCGGUGGCGAAGGCGGCUCACUGGCUCGUAACUGACGCUCAGGCGCGACAGCGUGGGGAU